Molecule: ribosomal RNA, 409 nt
Filed under: bacterium
Lineage: Bacteria
Description: partial 16S ribosomal RNA
Rfam family: Bacterial small subunit ribosomal RNA
Source: RNAcentral
UGGGGAAUAUUGCACAAUGGGCGAAAGCCUGAUGCAGCGACGCCGCGUGAGGGAUGACGGCCUUCGGGUUGUAAACCUCUUUCAGUAGGGACGAAGCGCAAGUGACGGUACCCGCAGAAGAAGCACCGGCUAACUACGUGCCAGCAGCCGCGGUAAUACGUAGGGUGCGAGCGUUGUCCGGAAUUACUGGGCGUAAAGAGCUCGUAGGCGGUUUGUCACGUCGUCUGUGAAAUCCUAGGGCUUAACCCUGGACGUGCAGGCGAUACGGGCUGACUUGAGUACUACAGGGGAGACUGGAAUUUCUGGUGUAGCGGUGGAAUGCACAGAUAUCAGGAAGAACGCCGAUGGCGAAGGCAGGUCUCUGGGUAGUAACUGACGCUGAGGAGCGAAAGCAUGGGUAGCGAACAGG